UUGCUGCCAAGCAACCAAAUUCUUAAGGCCUAUUCAAUAAUGGUACAGCCUUAUUGAAAAAGGAUACAACCUCAACUUUAGGUUAAUGAUUAAAUUCUCAUAAACAUGUGAGCAAAGUAGGCCUAAAAGCAGCCAUCUUCCAAAAAGCGUCCAAGCUUCACCUUCCAUUAUACCAAUUCAACUACAUAAUCAAAACCCAAUACCCGUACUGAGCUACUCUAUAAUAUUAUAGAAGAAAUUAUGUUAGAACUAGUAACACAGAAUAUUUUCUCUUACAUGCAAGCGUAAAUCAAACUGAAUACCUCAUCGAUAAUUACACAGAAUUGAAUUUAAUGUAACAACAGCACUAGAAAACCUUACCAACAGAUCUGUUAACCUAACACAAGGGCAUGAAAGAAAGAUUGCAAGACAAGGAAGGAACUCGGCAAACACUAGUUCCGCCUGUUUACCAAAAACAUCGCCUUUUGACCAUUAUAAGAGGCAACGCCUGCCCAGUGACAUCGUUCAACGGCCGCGGUAUUUUAACCGUGCGAAGGUAGCGCAAUCACUUGUUUUUUAAAUAAAGACUAGAAUGAACGGCAUCACGAGAACUAAACUGUCUCCCCCAUCUAAUCAGUGAAACUGAUCUCCCCGUGCAGAAGCGGGGAUAAAAUCAUAAGACGAGAAGACCCUAUGGAGCUUAAAAUCAAAAACCAACUGUUAGACUAUUAAAAGGAAACAACAACACAGUAUUGGUCUAGGUUUUUAGCUGGGGCGUCUACGGAGUAAAAACAACCCUCCGCGAAGAAAAAUGCCGAGAGUAACCACUCCAAGCAUUAAUACAUUUUACUUAAAUUGACCCAAUUUUUGAUCAACGGACCAAGUUACCCCAGGGAUAACAGCGCAAUCCACUUCUAGAGUCCCUAUCGACAAGUGGGCUUACGACCUCGAUGUUGGAUCAGGGCACCCA
This is a ribosomal RNA of 949 nucleotides. It matches the Rfam family "Bacterial large subunit ribosomal RNA", at positions 956 to 2548 of the family's 2925-position model.